Long non-coding RNA from Quercus lobata, 1330 nucleotides. RefSeq lists it as uncharacterized. The transcript has 6 exons. Lineage: Eukaryota; Viridiplantae; Streptophyta; Magnoliopsida; Fagales; Fagaceae. The record is from RefSeq and is a predicted model, not a curated record.
ACAGUGUUUUUUAUGAUUUUUUUUUUUAUCCUUCUCUCUCUCUCUCUCUCUCUCUCUCGUUGCGGUCAUGGCUAUUAAUCAAUUUCAAAACCUUUCUAUUUUUCUAUUAUUCUCUAGGCAACCAAACAAAGUUCUUGACUAGGUUUUUUUUUUUUUUUCCUUUUUUUAUGAUUUUCGUUUUGAUUUCCUCAUCAAGUUCAUCGCCAUCGAAUUGAUUUCACCAAGCCGAUACUAUUACAUUCAAAUAUUCACACUUUUCCCUAUCCAAACCCUUCGAUUAGGUUUUUUUUUUUUUUUUCUAUUUCUCUCGAUUUCGUAGUUUUAAAAACUUAUUUCUGAUCAGUUUGUUUUUGCUUGGACUCGAAUUUCAUCCAUACUCUGUUAUUCGCUUUGAGUAUUUUGAACUUUUGUGGUUUUUGUUCUUGAAUUUGAAAUGCUAUGUCAAAAUUGAAUUAGUAGUUUUGUGUAUUGCGUGCUUUCAAUGUGAUUGCAGGUGCAUUUGCAUUGGUUAAGGACUUUAUGAGGAAAAUGGCAGAAAGUUACAAGAAUUGUAAGCAGAGUUGGCUUCUUCUAAUGAAUUGCGGCAAAAGCUGGAACGAAAGGUGAGUUAUCUUCAGAAUGACAAUGCUUUGCUCUAGAACAAGCAAAAGGAAUUAAAGGGAACUAUACAAAGCUUACUUCAAUCGAAGGAAAGUUUUGUAAAUGCUUAUGAGUUGCAAGAGUUGAAGCUGCGAGCAUCAGGCAACUUGGACGAUCCCUUUUCAAACCCUGGCAUAUUUGAGAAGCAACUAUUGCAUGUUGUGAUGGUUGAACCUAAAGUCUCAAACAAAUCACGUUUUACGCAAGAACUUAUCUCAACUAUCUUAUUUACUAUAGCUCUUGGAUUAGUAUGGAUGUUCAUGCCAAUGAGCUCUAGCUCAAAUGGAACCUCCUCUUGUAAAAGCAUUGUGGAUGGUGGGGUCAAGGGUUCAGGACCCACCAGGUGCCAUUUAUGUUGUCCUUGGGUGGAUAUGCACUUGUUAAAUUGGAUGUAUGUGCUUUAUGAGUAAGGAAAAUAUUGGAGGGAUGGGGUGUCCUCUAUAGGGAAGUACAUGAAGAAAGGAUGCAUCAUCUUUUUUUCAAUGAUACUAGCUUUUGUCAUGGGCCUAGCCUUCUUGUUGGAAAGUGACACUUCUCCAUAAAUAUGUUACUUGAGGAUAAUUGAUGGAGCACAGUGGUUUUUAAUUUUUUUUUUCUUUUAAUUAGCCAUUUUGAAAACUUGGAACUAUUUGAAUACUUAAAAAAAUUAUGUUGGUGCUUUAGUUUUUAUAUGAGAAUGGAGUUUAAUUUG